UGGAUGCAUGGGCGAAAGCCUGAUCCGCCUGCCGCGUGUGUGAAGAAGGUCUUCGGAUUGUAAAGCACUUUAAGUUGGGAGGAAGGGCAGUAAGUUAAUACCUUGCUGUUUUGACGUUACCAACAGAAUAAGCACCGGCUAACUUCGUGCCAGCAGCCGCGGUAAUACGAAGGGUGCAAGCGUUAAUCGGAAUUACUGGGCGUAAAGCGCGCGUAGGUGGUUCAGCAAGUUGGAUGUGAAAUCCCCGGGCUCAACCUGGGAACUGCAUCCAAAACUACUGAGCUAGAGUACGGUAGAGGGUGGUGGAAUUUCCUGUGUCCGGUGAAAUGCGUAGAUAUAGGAAGGAACACCAGUGGCGAAGGCGACCACCUGGACUGAUACUGACACUGAGGUGCGAAAGCGUGGGGAGCAAACAGGAUUACAUACCCUGGUAGUCCACGCCGUAAACCAUGUCAACUAGCCUUUGGGAUCCUUGAGAUCUUAUUGGCGCAGCUAACGCGAUAAUUCAACAGCCUGGGGAGUACUGCCCCAAGGUU
RNAcentral lists this ribosomal RNA (536 nucleotides) under Pseudomonas sp. RNAcentral describes it as "bacterial SSU rRNA". It matches the Rfam family "Bacterial small subunit ribosomal RNA", at positions 365 to 895 of the family's 1533-position model. The record is from RNAcentral. Lineage: Bacteria; Pseudomonadati; Pseudomonadota; Gammaproteobacteria; Pseudomonadales; Pseudomonadaceae.